GCCUGCAGGAUAGCUCAAUUGAGCAUGAGACUCGUAAUCUCAGGGCUGUGGGUUCGAGCACCACGUUGGGCA
Molecule: non-coding RNA, 72 nt
Organism: Podarcis lilfordi (Lilford's wall lizard)
Lineage: Eukaryota; Metazoa; Chordata; Lepidosauria; Squamata; Lacertidae
Source: the annotation of a GenBank genome assembly